AUUUUUUAACGGAAAUUAGACAUUAACAUAGUGUCCUUUGCUCAUAUGAAAGUGAACCUUGAAAACUAAUUAGAAACUAUAAAAGUUGUAAAAUUCAAAAACACACACACAUACACACACACACACAUUUGGAGAGUUACUCUGGGUGGGAUAAAUAUGCUAUAGCUCAAGUUGGGUUCAAGAAAUUUUUGAGCAAAUACAUCAGGGCUAAGAAAUAAGCUACAAAAAUAGAACCUCAAUAGGAAGAUCAAAGGUGAUAAAGAAACUCCUGAUACAAAUCCAGGAAAAUACAUGACCCCGCGCACCUGAUGUUAACAAGUAUUAGUAUUCCAUCCAUACGAUGGAAUUGAGUAUAUAUAGCUGUUCGAAAGCAAUAAUGAUAUCCACGCUACAUCAUUUCACGUUCAUAGACCAACAGAAAAGACACAAUUGUUUAACAAGACACUGAUAAAUUCUUCAUAUCAACUCUUUGUGACAUACCAUUUGGUGCGGACCUACAGUCGAUAACCUCAUCAUAAGAUCCGGAAAUGGCAUCUGCAGAUAAUAACGGAUUACAUGUUCAUGACAUUACGCAAGUAAAUUCUACUCAUGGAUUAACAAGGAAAAUGAAACAUACCCUAGCAGGCCACGACCUUGCCACAUUCUUGGCGUCACUUGUAAGUUAAUGAU
RNAcentral lists this long non-coding RNA (669 nucleotides) under Nicotiana tabacum (common tobacco). Its description in RNAcentral is "long non-coding RNA (NTAB_LNC005822)". The record is from RNAcentral. Lineage: Eukaryota; Viridiplantae; Streptophyta; Magnoliopsida; Solanales; Solanaceae.